Molecule: ribosomal RNA, 1593 nt
Filed under: Triticum aestivum (bread wheat)
Lineage: Eukaryota; Viridiplantae; Streptophyta; Magnoliopsida; Poales; Poaceae
Description: partial small subunit ribosomal RNA
Source: RNAcentral
AUGGACGAGAUAUCGACCAGUGAAAUCGUUGGCGUCCAUGACCCGCGUGCAAUAGAUUUUUACGAUCUACGCGGUUUUGAUGACGCCACAAAGAAAAAGAAAAAAGAACAGCAGAGGAUGAGAGCGGAACGCAUCAAAACCAAGCGCUUAAGCUUAAAAAAGAAACGCUUGAGGAAGCAACGUAAAAGAGAGGAAGCUAAAGCAAUUGUGGACAGGGCCCUCCAGUUAAGAGAAGAGAUGUAUCAAAAGAGGCUCGAAUUUGAGGCAUCGGAAAAGGGCAAGGAGGAGCAGGAGAAGUACCGCAGCACCCCUCCCUGGAGCUGGAGGCCGGCAGUUCCCAUUACUGAAGUCACUAACCAACCACCAGCUUUCGAAUGGGUUCCAUCUUUUGGCGUUGAUGAGUUUGGGAGAAUAUCUGUACUGAAGUGUACAAGUUGGAGAGUCGAGGAAUACACAUUGGAACUUGCUGAGUGUGUGGUUGGACUUCAGUCAUUUACAGAAGACAAGCAUCUUUUCUCUUGCUCUGGAACAAUUGUUGAGUUUCUAAAGGGUGUUGGUCGUGUGGUAACAUCUGCUAGUUUAGUUAAAUUGCCACACCAAGAUGAGAUAGCUGAUAAACUCAAGGUCAAUGUAUGCUUACCAAGCGGAGAAAUACUUGAGGGCUCAGUAUCAAAUGUGGACUUUUGUUACAACAUAUGUGUGGUACAUGUCCGUUCAACUUCGCAGCUGCCAGCGAAAAGGUUCAGUGCGGACACUACAUGUUUCAAUUUCAAUGACUGCCAUUCAAAAGAUGUUGUAGCUUUAGGCCGCCUUUGUAAGCGAUGGAGCUUGAACGUUGCUUCUGGAAAGUUAUCCCCAAGAAGAAGCCAGUUUGAUUGUGAAGAACUUCUUGUUUCAUCUUGCAGAAUUUCAAAGAGAGGUGUUGGGGGUCCUCUGAUGGAUUUUGAUGGAAAUAUCAUCGGAAUGAACUUCUAUGACAAGAAAGAAACCCCUUUCGUUCCAGGUUUCAUCGUGUUGAAGUGUUUGCAACACUUCAAUGAUUUCGGGAGGGUCAUACGACCGUUGCAUGGACUGAGAGUUAAAACUCUUCAUGAAGAACAGCUUACUGUACUUGAGAAGAUACAUCUGGUCUUCCCUGGUGUCUGUGGUGUCAUAGUGGAGAAGGUAGAAGUGCCUUCACCUGAACAUUCUGAGAUAAAGGCUGGGGACAGUGGUGUCAUGGUGGACAAGAUAGAAGUACCUUCACCUGAACAUUCUGAGAUAAAGGUUGGGGACAUCAUCACUCAUGUUGAUGGCAUACCUUUCUCCAGUGCUGCAGAGUUUGGUGGUAUACUGCUUGAUACGUGUGGUCAGCAUAUGCUAGAGAGACAGAAAUUGGGCCUACCGGAGGACUACAACCAGAUGUCAACAGUGAUAAGCCUAAAGUUCGACGUGAAAACACAGAGAGGUCGCAAAUCUGAAAAGACAACCAGAACUAUCAACAUCGACAAGUUUACUCCUAGUGGAAAGUUAAACAGGUGGCCACUUGGGAGAGCUUAUCUUCUUCGCCGUAUUGAGAAUGGAAUCCUGUACACCGAAGAGCGAUAUGGCUAA